Canis lupus familiaris (dog) is the source of this 2149-nucleotide long non-coding RNA. RefSeq lists it as uncharacterized. NCBI's taxonomy places the organism in Eukaryota, Metazoa, Chordata, Mammalia, Carnivora, Canidae. The record is from RefSeq and is a predicted model, not a curated record. The transcript has 2 exons.
GCGGAACUCGGGCGAGCCAGGUGGGGCUCAGGGUGGUGGUGCGGUUCCGCGGGACAGGAACCCAGGCCGGGCACAGGCGGCUCCGGAUCCCCCUGGAAGAUCCCCGCUCUUCACGGGGCUGAGCUCGGCCACCGGGACAGAGACCUUGUCGGAACAGGCGCGAGUUCCUGACGCCUGUGCUCCCGGGCUGCAGCCGCGCGGGGACAGCAGGGCAAAGCCUGUCCUCGCGGCCCUGCCGGUCCCCGGUGCAGCCUCGGCUCCGGUGGCAGGUUGCGCAGGUGAGAAGGGCCGUUCCCAUGUGGCCAGUGGCAGUGCCCAGGCGGUGUGGCGUCCGAGUGCCAGGCCCCGGGGGCACGCAGAGCACGGGGCACCCUCUGCGGUGCCGGGCAGGCUGAGCACCUGGGGCCUGUCCCCAGUGAGUGGGCGCGGUGAGGGGCCCCGUCCCUCGGGCGCCCCUUCGUCACCCGGGUGUCCCCGAGUACUGCUGGCUAUGGUGCCAGACACCGCGAGGGAGUGACAAGACCCGAGUGCGGGGCCUCUGGAGCCAAGUCCCCGGGUGCUCGGGUUCUUCUCCUUUCUCCGCACCCUGCAGGCACGGGAGCCACGCGAACGCCUUCGGCUAGCAUCGCCGCAGGCCCACGCCGACCACCUUGAGGCCAAGCGCGACUUCCUGAGGCCUCCUGUCGGGUUGGCCUCGGCUGGGCCUGGCCUUCCGCCACCAUUCAGCCGGGUGGCACAGUCGCGGCCCCGUGCCCCCCGCGCUUGAUUUGGAGGCUCCACUCUGGCUGCUGCAGCCGCCACCUCCGGCCGGGCCCCGCCUACGGCCCUUGGAGCCACGUUUUGAAUGCGAGACUCUCAAGAAUUAAUACUGGUUUUCUAAAAAGAGCAGGUGUGAGUGCUUGGUAAUAGCUGGCAUGCGUUUUGUGCGCCGUGAUCUGCAGAUGACAUGUUUUCCAUCAAGUCGUUCGGUUGGAUCCAGUUCUAAUCUUUGGUGGCAAAAUAAGUGUGCGCUCAACGCAAACUCGGGACGACACAUUGCCGGCAGUUUCCGCUAGACUCGGCGCAGCCGGUAAAGAAGCCCAAGCCCUCAAAGCCAACAGCUGCUAUUGUCCGUGGCCGUCGAGGUAUCACAACUGCCCGAGGAAGAACAGAAAUGGGAUUUGCUGGUGUGUACACUCUGCAUCUAGCUCCGAUCAUCUGCGUCUUCAUCGCACCUGUGGAGGGAAGCGAAAUGUGUCUCCGUGCGUUUGUGCGUGAUGAGGGGAGAACACGGACAGGCUGUGCCUCCUACCUGCCUGGGGGACAUCACAGUGAGCUUGUGUUACCUCUAAACCCUCAAAUCCUAAAGGCAGUCUCGCUGUGAGCAAUGUGUCUGUCGGGGUACCAGCGCUGUGGGACUCUAAAAGCUGGGGGUGCCUUUGGGGAACACCGGUUCAAGCAGCAGGGAGUAGAUGAGAGGUUGUGGCUGUGUUCGUUAAUGCUAGGACCCCACUGAAGGCAGGGAUGGAGCCCCAGAGGACAGAAGGUGCAGCCCUUCUAGGAGUAGGGGCCCCCCUGCCUUACCUGCCAUCCCCCGUGCCCCCAUCCUCUGCCUGGAGCCCCACUUGACAGCGUGCCGUGGCACGAGGACGUUAGAAGUAGACCCUGCUAGGCCCUAUAGGGCAUGAGUUUCUGGGUCACGUCGAGGCACUGAGGGUGCUCAGGCCCACGGGGGGGCUGGAAGAGACUGGGUCCUGCCUUUCCAGCAGCUGGUCCCGGCCCGGGGCCCCAGGACCCUAAAGCCACAGGAACUCCGCGACCAGCAGCGCGUGCGAGCAUCUCACAUCUCUCGAACCCUAGAACCUCGCGACCGGAGAGCGCUUACAAACUGUCUCCUGGAACCCGGACACUUUGUAAUUACGUUUGCAAAGGAGCAUUUAAAGACCACUCCAAAAAUAAAUAAAUGCCAACCACUCCAGAUCUUGCACAACCUGUGCCUCUCAGUGUCGAAUACACAGACUCGGGUGAAGGGAAGAACUCUUCAUAUUAAUUACUUGAUGAUACGUAACGACGGUAAUGAUGUGGCUUAGGUAUCGGGUUAAAUCAAGUGUGCUAAUUAAGGUGUUAUAAAGGCGAAGUUAAAAUGCUUAAUUAAAAUUAAUCUCAGUUA